Molecule: ribosomal RNA, 402 nt
Filed under: bacterium
Lineage: Bacteria
Description: partial 16S ribosomal RNA
Rfam family: Bacterial small subunit ribosomal RNA
Source: RNAcentral
UGGGGAAUUUUGCACAAUGGGGGAAACCCUGAUGCAGCGACGCCGCGUGAUUUAGAAGGCCUUCGGGUUGUAAAAAUCUUUUUUACGGGAUGAAAAUGACAGUACCGUAAGAAUAAGGUCCGGCUAAAUACGUGCCAGCAGCCGCGGUAAUACGUAUGGACCGAGCGUUGUCCGGAAUCAUUGGGCGUAAAGGGUACGUAGGCGGCCUAGUAAGUUAGAAGUGAAAUAAUAUAGCUCAACUAUAUAAAGCUUUUAAAACUGCUAGGCUUGAGAGAUUGAAGGGAAAGUGGAAUUCCUAGUGUAGCGGUGAAAUGCGCAGAUAUUAGGAAGAAUACCGGUGGCGAAGGCGACUUUCUGGUCAUCAUCUGACGCUGAGGUACGAAAGCGUGGGUAGCAAACAGG